GGAUUACGCUGGCGGCGUGCAUAACACAUGCAAGUCGAACGAUGAAACUUAAAUGAUUUCUUCGGAAUGAACUUAAGUGGAUUAGUGGCGGACGGGUGAGUAACGCGUGAGUAACCUGCCUUACACAAGGGGAUAGCCGUUGGAAACGACGAAUAAUACCCUAUGAAACUAUCACUUCGCAUGAAGCGAUAGUCAAAGUGUUAGCGGUGUAAGACGGACUUGCGUCUGAUCAGCUAGUUGGUGAGAAAAAAGCCCACCAAGGCAACGAUCAGUAGCCGGCUUGAGAGAGUGUACGGCCACAUUGGGACUGAGACACGGCCCAGACUCCUACGGGAGGCAGCAGUGGGGAAUUUUGCACAAUGGGGGAAACCCUGAUGCAGCGACGCCGCGUGAUUUAGAAGGCCUUCGGGUUGUACAAAUCUUUUGUAUAGGAAGAAAAUGACAGUACUAUACGAAUAAGGUCCGGCUAAUUACGUGCCAGCAGCCGCGGUAAUGCGUAAGGACCGAGCGUUGUCCGGAAU
This 521-nucleotide ribosomal RNA is filed under the name uncultured Eubacteriales bacterium. RNAcentral's name for it is "bacterial SSU rRNA". It matches the Rfam family "Bacterial small subunit ribosomal RNA", at positions 26 to 551 of the family's 1533-position model. The record is from RNAcentral. Lineage: Bacteria; Bacillati; Bacillota; Clostridia; Eubacteriales.